CGCGUGAGGGAUGACGGCCUUCGGGUUGUAAACCUCUUUUAACAAGGAAGAAGCGAAAGUGACGGUACUUGCAUAAAAAGCGCCGGCUAACUACGUGCCAGCAGCCGCGGUAAUACGUAGGGCGCAAGCGUUAUCCGGAAUUAUUGGGCGUAAAGAGCUCGUAGGCGGUUUGUCGCGUCUGCUGUGAAAUCUGGAGGCUCAACCUCCAGCCUGCAGUGGGUACGGGCAGACUAGAGUGCGGUAGGGGAGAUUGGAAUUCCUGGUGUAGCGGUGGAAUGCGCAGAUGUCAAGAGGAACACCGAUGGCGAAGGCAGAUCUCUGGGCCGUAACUGACGCUGAGGAGCGAAAGGGUGGGGAGCAAACAGGCUUAUAUACCCUGGUAGUCCACCCCGUGAACGUUGGGAACUAGUUGUGGGGACCAUUCCACGGUUUCCGUGACGCAGCUGACGCAUUAAGUUCCCCGCCUGGGGAGUACGGCCGCAAGGCUAAAACUCAGAGGAAUUGACGGGGACCCGCACAAGCGGCGGAGCAUGCGGAUUAAUUCGAUGCAACGCGAAGAACCUUACCAAGGCUUGACAUAUACAAGAACGCUGCACAAAUGUAGAACUCUAUGGACACUC
Molecule: ribosomal RNA, 620 nt
Filed under: Microbacteriaceae bacterium Ri3Ps_5248
Lineage: Bacteria; Bacillati; Actinomycetota; Actinomycetes; Micrococcales; Microbacteriaceae
Description: bacterial SSU rRNA
Rfam family: Bacterial small subunit ribosomal RNA
Source: RNAcentral